This 742-nucleotide ribosomal RNA is filed under the name uncultured bacterium. RNAcentral describes it as "bacterial SSU rRNA". It matches the Rfam family "Bacterial small subunit ribosomal RNA", at positions 94 to 823 of the family's 1533-position model. The record is from RNAcentral.
AGCGGCGGACGGGUGAGUAACACGUGGGUAACCUGCCCAAGAGACUGGGAUAACACCUGGAAACAGAUGCUAAUACCGGAUAACAACACUAGACGCAUGUCUAGAGUUUGAAGGAUGGUUCUGCUAUCACUCUUGGAUGGACCUGCGGUGCAUUAGCUAGUUGGUAAGGUAACGGCUUACCAAGGCAAUGAUGCAUAGCCGAGUUGAGAGACUGAUCGGCCACAUUGGGACUGAGACACGGCCCAAACUCCUACGGGAGGCAGCAGUAGGGAAUCUUCCACAAUGGACGAAAGUCUGAUGGAGCAACGCCGCGUGAGUGAAGAAGGGUUUCGGCUCGUAAAGCUCUGUUGGUAGUGAAGAAAGAUAGAGGUAGUAACUGGCCUUUAUUUGACGGUAAUUACUUAGAAAGUCACGGCUAACUACGUGCCAGCAGCCGCGGUAAUACGUAGGUGGCAAGCGUUGUCCGGAUUUAUUGGGCGUAAAGCGAGUGCAGGCGGUUCAAUAAGUCUGAUGUGAAAGCCUUCGGCUCAACCGGAGAAUUGCAUCAGAAACUGUUGAACUUGAGUGCAGAAGAGGAGAGUGGAACUCCAUGUGUAGCGGUGGAAUGCGUAGAUAUAUGGAAGAACACCAGUGGCGAAGGCGGCUCUCUGGUCUGCAACUGACGCUGAGGCUCGAAAGCAUGGGUAGCGAACAGGAUUAGAUACCCUGGUAGUCCAUGCCGUAAACGAUGAGUGCUAAGUGU